GCCGAUCCUGAGUUCGGUUCGUCGGAAGCCAUAGUUGUGUUUCUUAUCACAGAAAACAUUAAGUGGGUUGUUGCCUGGAGGAAUAUGGCUAAUGAAGACAAUAAGGUCUAUACUGAUAUUACUACUGACAGCAAAAUUAAUUGGGACUUUUACAAAGAACAACUG
Molecule: long non-coding RNA, 165 nt
Organism: Hibiscus syriacus
Lineage: Eukaryota; Viridiplantae; Streptophyta; Magnoliopsida; Malvales; Malvaceae
Exons: 2
Source: RefSeq, a predicted model, not a curated record